CAGUAGCCACGGUAAUACAGAGGGUGCGAGCGUUAAUCGGAUUUACUGGGCGUAAAGCGUGCGUAGGCGGCUUUUUAAGUCGGAUGUGAAAUCCCUGAGCUUAACUUAGGAAUUGCAUUCGAUACUGGGAAGCUAGAGUAUGGGAGAGGAUGGUAGAAUUCCAGGUGUAGCGGUGAAAUGCGUAGAGAUCUGGAGGAAUACCGAUGGCGAAGGCAGCCAUCUGGCCUAAUACUGACGCUGAGGUACGAAAGCAUGGGGAGCAAACAGGAUUAGAUACCCGCGUAGUCCCUGUCUCUUAUAU
Molecule: ribosomal RNA, 301 nt
Filed under: uncultured bacterium
Lineage: Bacteria
Description: partial 16S ribosomal RNA
Rfam family: Bacterial small subunit ribosomal RNA
Source: RNAcentral